AUACGUAGGGAGCGAGCGUUGUCCGGAAUUACUGGGCGUAAAGGGCGCGUAGGCGGCGCUUCAAGUCGUCUGUCAAAUGGGAGGGCUUAACCCUUUUUCGCAGACGAAACUGUGGCGCUGGAGAAGCAGAGAGGCAAACAGAAUUCCUGGUGUAGCGGUGAAAUGCGUAGAUAUCAGGAAGAAUACCAGUGGCGAAGGCGGUUUGCUGGCUGCAUACUGACGCUGAAGCGCGAAAGCCAGGGGAGCAAACGGGAUUAGAUACCCCGGUAGUCCUGGCAGUAAACGAUGUAUGCUGGGUGUGGGAGUAGCGAUACCUCCGUGCCGAAGUUAACGCGAUAAGCAUACCGCCUGGGGAGUACGGUCGCAAGAUUGAAACUCAAAUGAAUUGACGGGG
RNAcentral lists this ribosomal RNA (394 nucleotides) under uncultured bacterium. Its description in RNAcentral is "partial 16S ribosomal RNA". It matches the Rfam family "Bacterial small subunit ribosomal RNA", at positions 523 to 918 of the family's 1533-position model. The record is from RNAcentral.